GCUAUAGCUCAAUGGUAAGAGCACCUGCCUUGCAUACAGAAGUCCAGUCUCUGGCAUUUCCAGGUACAGCUAGGAAGGAUGCUUCAUCUAAACCCUGGGAACCACUCAUAACUCACUAAAGUAGGCAGUACUGACCUGGGUGGAUCAAUGGUGUGACUUGGCUAAGACAGAUCAUUCAUGUUCUUAAAUCCCUUGAGUCAUACUUCAGUCUUUGGGCUGAGACUAAAUUGGUGGUGGGACACAUGCAUUGCAUGCGGAAGGUCCCAAGUUUAAUCCCUGGCAUCUCCA
Non-coding RNA from Podarcis lilfordi (Lilford's wall lizard), 288 nucleotides. The record is from the annotation of a GenBank genome assembly. NCBI's taxonomy places the organism in Eukaryota, Metazoa, Chordata, Lepidosauria, Squamata, Lacertidae.